UACGGGGGGGGGCAAGCGUUGUUCGGAAUUACUGGGCGUAAAGGGCGCGUAGGCGGCCUACUAAGUCGGACGUGAAAUCCCUCGGCUCAACCGAGGAACUGCGUCCGAUACUGGCAGGCUGGAAUCCGGGAGAGGGAUGUGGAAUUCCAGGUGUAGCGGUGAAAUGCGUAGAUAUCUGGAGGAACACCGGUGGCGAAGGCGGCAUCCUGGACCGGUAUUGACGCUGAGGCGCGAAAGCUAGGGGAGCAAACGGG
This 254-nucleotide ribosomal RNA is filed under the name uncultured bacterium. RNAcentral describes it as "partial 16S ribosomal RNA". It matches the Rfam family "Bacterial small subunit ribosomal RNA", at positions 524 to 776 of the family's 1533-position model. The record is from RNAcentral.